Non-coding RNA from Paramuricea clavata, 253 nucleotides. NCBI's taxonomy places the organism in Eukaryota, Metazoa, Cnidaria, Anthozoa, Malacalcyonacea, Plexauridae. The record is from the annotation of a GenBank genome assembly.
GGGAAGUAUCAUGGAUGACUUCUGUGUGGUUGCAUGCUGUGGACCCUGUGCAAUGUGUCAAAUGGCAAGAGAACUCAAUAUUCACGGAAUCUAACCAUCAAACAUAAACAACAAACUUUUUAUAUCUUUUAAUAAAACUUUCUGUAAUGGAAUAUUAAGUAUUAUUUAGAAUCUAAAAUUGUAAUUGUUGAUUAGAUAAUUUGUUGUGCCUAUAUCAAAUGGUAAAACCAAUAAACAAAUGUAUGUAUAAUUU